CCAUGGCCCAUGCCUUUGACCACUCCUGACUUGAACCACAUCUUAUUUUAGCUGCAGAUGUGAUGAGCAGUUCCUUUAACCAGUGAGGACUUCCUGUCUUAAGGCUCCUCAGCUCCUCUGCUUCAGAACUUUCUGCAAAACUGCAGAACCCACUUGGCCAAGUAUGGAGGAAUUAAUGUGAGGCUGGGAAGAAGGAGGAAGCAAAGGGAUCGAGUCACAGGAUGGCACCUGAGCAUCCCUGUCUCAGCUCAGGACUCCUUGCUGAGCUUCCUCCUACAGCUGAAGAGGUACUGUGAAAGAGAUGCCUACAUUGGAGCAUUCUGGACAAGAUGACCUUCCCUUCUGUGAACCAUAAUGAGCAUAUCCAACAUAGUCAAUCUCUACCCUUCUACCUCCAACAUCAUUUUCUCUUUCCUUAUUUGUUUUAAUUUUUAAUACACUUAAUACAACUGACAUUAAAGCAUCUAUUUAUAUUUGUUGUCUGUUUCUUACACUGGAAUGUACAUUCCAUGAGGCCAGGGACUUGGUCUUGUUUACAUCUGUAUCAAUGCCUAAAAUAGCAAUUUUUUUCAAUGGAUGGAUGGACAGGUGUAAAGCGAUGGAUGGACAGCUAAGGUGGUAAAG
RNAcentral lists this long non-coding RNA (624 nucleotides) under Homo sapiens (human). RNAcentral describes it as "HSALNT0142702". Lineage: Eukaryota; Metazoa; Chordata; Mammalia; Primates; Hominidae. The record is from RNAcentral.